This 2673-nucleotide ribosomal RNA is filed under the name Staphylococcus aureus. Its description in RNAcentral is "partial 23S ribosomal RNA". It matches the Rfam family "Bacterial large subunit ribosomal RNA". Lineage: Bacteria; Bacillati; Bacillota; Bacilli; Caryophanales; Staphylococcaceae. The record is from RNAcentral.
GAUUAAGUUAUUAAGGGCGCACGGUGGAUGCCUUGGCACUAGAAGCCGAUGAAGGACGUUACUAACGACGAUAUGCUUUGGGGAGCUGUAAGUAAGCUUUGAUCCAGAGAUUUCCGAAUGGGGAAACCCAGCAUGAGUUAUGUCAUGUUAUCGAUAUGUGAAUACAUAGCAUAUCAGAAGGCACACCCGGAGAACUGAAACAUCUUAGUACCCGGAGGAAGAGAAAGAAAAUUCGAUUCCCUUAGUAGCGGCGAGCGAAACGGGAAGAGCCCAAACCAACAAGCUUGCUUGUUGGGGUUGUAGGACACUCUAUACGGAGUUACAAAGGACGACAUUAGACGAAUCAUCUGGAAAGAUGAAUCAAAGAAGGUAAUAAUCCUGUAGUCGAAAAUGUUGUCUCUCUUGAGUGGAUCCUGAGUACGACGGAGCACGUGAAAUUCCGUCGGAAUCUGGGAGGACCAUCUCCUAAGGCUAAAUACUCUCUAGUGACCGAUAGUGAACCAGUACCGUGAGGGAAAGGUGAAAAGCACCCCGGAAGGGGAGUGAAAUAGAACCUGAAACCGUGUGCUUACAAGUAGUCAGAGCCCGUUAAUGGGUGAUGGCGUGCCUUUUGUAGAAUGAACCGGCGAGUUACGAUUUGAUGCAAGGUUAAGCAGUAAAUGUGGAGCCGUAGCGAAAGCGAGUCUGAAUAGGGCGUUUAGUAUUUGGUCGUAGACCCGAAACCAGGUGAUCUACCCUUGGUCAGGUUGAAGUUCAGGUAACACUGAAUGGAGGACCGAACCGACUUACGUUGAAAAGUGAGCGGAUGAACUGAGGGUAGCGGAGAAAUUCCAAUCGAACCUGGAGAUAGCUGGUUCUCUCCGAAAUAGCUUUAGGGCUAGCCUCAAGUGAUGAUUAUUGGAGGUAGAGCACUGUUUGGACGAGGGGCCCCUCUCGGGUUACCGAAUUCAGACAAACUCCGAAUGCCAAUUAAUUUAACUUGGGAGUCAGAACAUGGGUGAUAAGGUCCGUGUUCGAAAGGGAAACAGCCCAGACCACCAGCUAAGGUCCCAAAAUAUAUGUUAAGUGGAAAAGGAUGUGGCGUUGCCCAGACAACUAGGAUGUUGGCUUAGAAGCAGCUAUCAUUUAAAGAGUGCGUAAUAGCUCACUAGUCAAGUGACACUGCGCCGAAAAUGUACCGGGGCUAAACAUAUUACCGAAGCUGUGGAUUGUCCUUUGGACAAUGGUAGGAGAGCGUUCUAAGGGCGUUGAAGCAUGAUCGUAAGGACAUGUGGAGCGCUUAGAAGUGAGAAUGCCGGUGUGAGUAGCGAAAGACGGGUGAGAAUCCCGUCCACCGAUUGACUAAGGUUUCCAGAGGAAGGCUCGUCCGCUCUGGGUUAGUCGGGUCCUAAGCUGAGGCCGACAGGCGUAGGCGAUGGAUAACAGGUUGAUAUUCCUGUACCACCUAUAAUCGUUUUAAUCGAUGGGGGGACGCAGUAGGAUAGGCGAAGCGUGCGAUUGGAUUGCACGUCUAAGCAGUAAGGCUGAGUAUUAGGCAAAUCCGGUACUCGUUAAGGCUGAGCUGUGAUGGGGAGAAGACAUUGUGUCUUCGAGUCGUUGAUUUCACACUGCCGAGAAAAGCCUCUAGAUAGAAAAUAGGUGCCCGUACCGCAAACCGACACAGGUAGUCAAGAUGAGAAUUCUAAGGUGAGCGAGCGAACUCUCGUUAAGGAACUCGGCAAAAUGACCCCGUAACUUCGGGAGAAGGGGUGCUCUUUAGGGUUAACGCCCAGAAGAGCCGCAGUGAAUAGGCCCAAGCGACUGUUUAUCAAAAACACAGGUCUCUGCUAAACCGUAAGGUGAUGUAUAGGGGCUGACGCCUGCCCGGUGCUGGAAGGUUAAGAGGAGUGGUUAGCUUCUGCGAAGCUACGAAUCGAAGCCCCAGUAAACGGCGGCCGUAACUAUAACGGUCCUAAGGUAGCGAAAUUCCUUGUCGGGUAAGUUCCGACCCGCACGAAAGGCGUAACGAUUUGGGCACUGUCUCAACGAGAGACUCGGUGAAAUCAUAGUACCUGUGAAGAUGCAGGUUACCCGCGACAGGACGGAAAGACCCCGUGGAGCUUUACUGUAGCCUGAUAUUGAAAUUCGGCACAGCUUGUACAGGAUAGGUAGGAGCCUUUGAAACGUGAGCGCUAGCUUACGUGGAGGCGCUGGUGGGAUACUACCCUAGCUGUGUUGGCUUUCUAACCCGCACCACUUAUCGUGGUGGGAGACAGUGUCAGGCGGGCAGUUUGACUGGGGCGGUCGCCUCCUAAAAGGUAACGGAGGCGCUCAAAGGUUCCCUCAGAAUGGUUGGAAAUCAUUCAUAGAGUGUAAAGGCAUAAGGGAGCUUGACUGCGAGACCUACAAGUCGAGCAGGGUCGAAAGACGGACUUAGUGAUCCGGUGGUUCCGCAUGGAAGGGCCAUCGCUCAACGGAUAAAAGCUACCCCGGGGAUAACAGGCUUAUCUCCCCCAAGAGUUCACAUCGACGGGGAGGUUUGGCACCUCGAUGUCGGCUCAUCGCAUCCUGGGGCUGUAGUCGGUCCCAAGGGUUGGGCUGUUCGCCCAUUAAAGCGGUACGCGAGCUGGGUUCAGAACGUCGUGAGACAGUUCGGUCCCUAUCCGUCGUGGGCGUAGGAAAUUUGAGAGGAGC